Long non-coding RNA from Mesocricetus auratus (golden hamster), 1762 nucleotides. RefSeq lists it as uncharacterized. The transcript has 2 exons. Lineage: Eukaryota; Metazoa; Chordata; Mammalia; Rodentia; Cricetidae. The record is from RefSeq and is a predicted model, not a curated record.
CCCAGCCCGCCCUGCCGCCCGCUCCAUCGCGAUCACAGCGGCGCACACUCGGAGCCACGCGCGCGCACACGCACACACUUACAUCCGCUACCCUCUCGCUCCAUAAUGCAGAAACUAAGGCCAUGGAGAUGAAAGAGGCAGAUGGACUGGCAUUUCAUUCCUGUGUGUGGAAGGCCAAUGUGUCCUGACAGAACUUCCACAAGUGGCGGAGUGGAAAAGAGGUCCCCAGCAUCGAGACCAGCGUCGUCAGCACAGGACUUGCUGCGCCGGCACUUAGCCGAGGCCGGUUCUGACUGAGGAGUCGCAUUGGGAACCUGGCAUCUGGGAGAGAAGUGGGUGUGAGUUGACAUGGGGCAUCUGACAAUCUGACAUGCCGGGACUCCAGCACAGGCGCCCUGUGGGAGCUGUGAGGAUCUGGGGCAGUGAUGGCUGCCACCCGAGUGCCACGUGAUCGAUGGAGACUCCUGACCAGCCCCAGGUGUUCGGGUCCCUAGCCUUCCUGGGUGCCCUGCCACCUUCUAACGUCCGUGAUGUAGUCAUUGUUUGUUCUGUGUGUCCGCGUGACCGUCACCACCCCGGAGCCUUGUACACGUAGUCACUGGUCUUUACCAUAGCCCUGCAGAGCAGUUUAAAAACAAAACUCCGUGAGGCCAGACCCCCCCCUUGAAGACCACCUAGUGAACGCAUACUGAAGCUGGGAGUCAGGGCCAGGCCUGCAGGUCGCAAAGCCAUGCUGUUUGUGUGAUACGGAGGGCAUGUCACGGGGCCUGGGCCCAAGAGGAAGACCGGAGUGUGCUCUCCUCCCCACAAAGGCCACUCACUUUGGUGUGAGUUGGUAGCGGAGCCAUUACCCGGCCCCGAUUUCACCUGUCAAGAGUAAACUUCCACCGUGGCCUGCGUGGCCAUCAUUCCUGACUCUCAGGCUAGGACUUCAAGGAGAACGUCUGCAUCGGAGACGGGGAGGUGUGCCUGCUUGAUCAUCCCCCAACCGUUUCCGUCCUACAGCAGCAGAGUGAAGCUCUUCAGGGUGCCUUCGCUCUCUGUCCAGGCACACACCAGCAAUGAAGCCAGCUUCCAUCCGUGAUCAACGGGCAGCGGGAGUCGUGACCGCAUCUCCCCGAGUCAGGACUCCCAGGCUAGUUCUCCUUCGGUUGUUUGCUUCUUUUGGUUGCAUUUGGAGUUUACAGAGGUGAAGCCACAGCUGCCUUCCUCCUUUCUCUGAGGCCCCCGAUAACCAGUCAACUGAGCUUUCUGUUGUCAUUUUUCACGGGUUUAAUAGCUGUUGGCAACCGCAUUGUGUUAUUUUGUUCACAUAAUUAUUCACUGAGCACGAAAAUACCCUGGAGCACCUCAGCUGUGGCCAUGUUUGCUGGACGCUAGGAAGUGGCUAAAACCUGCGGGUGGGCCUGUGAAGUGAGGAAAAGAUUUUUUUUCUAAUUAUAGAUACAUCAACCAUUGAGAAAAAAGCCUGAGGUGUGUAGUCUGUGUGACAUGUGAGUUCGUACUUACCCUGCAUUGUCAUGACGUGUUCUCUGACCUUCGCCUAGUCCUUCACAAUUUCUCUCAGCCAAGAGUUCACGGAAGGGAAGGCAGCCUGGCCUUCCGUGGCAGUGAUGGGUGGGAGCAGAGACUGCCGAGCCACACGUGGGUUCUUUUCUUCCUCUGUGCCACAGGUGGGUCUGUUCCUCAUCAGUUCAUCCUGGGCAGCAGCAGCCAUAGACCUUCAUAGAGCAAAGACAUUAAAAAGAGAAGACUCAAACUA